Molecule: ribosomal RNA, 496 nt
Filed under: uncultured bacterium
Lineage: Bacteria
Description: partial 16S ribosomal RNA
Rfam family: Bacterial small subunit ribosomal RNA
Source: RNAcentral
GACGAACGCUGGCGGCGUGCCUAAUACAUGCAAGUUGAGCGCUGAAGGUUGGUACUUGUACCAACUGGAUGAGCAGCGAACGGGUGAGUAACGCGUGGGGAAUCUGCCUUUGAGCGGGGGACAACAUUGGAAACGAAUGCUAAUACCGCAUAAAAACUUUAAACACAAGUUUUAAGUUUGAAAGGUGCAAUUGCAUCACUCAAAGAUGAUCCCGCGUUGUAUUAGCUAGUUGGUGAGGUAAAGGCUCACCAAGGCGAUGAUACAUAGCCGACCUGAGAGGGUGAUCGGCCACAUUGGGACUGAGACACGGCCCAAACUCCUACGGGAGGCAGCAGUAGGGAAUCUUCGGCAAUGGACGAAAGUCUGACCGAGCAACGCCGCGUGAGUGAAGAAGGUUUUCGGAUCGUAAAACUCUGUUGGUAGAGAAGAACGUUGGUGAGAGUGGAAAGCUCAUCAAGUGACGGUAACUACCCAGAAAGGGACGGCUAACUACGUG